Molecule: ribosomal RNA, 497 nt
Filed under: uncultured bacterium
Lineage: Bacteria
Description: partial 16S ribosomal RNA
Rfam family: Bacterial small subunit ribosomal RNA
Source: RNAcentral
GAUGAACGCUGGCGGCGUGCCUAAUACAUGCAAGUCGAGCGAACAGAUGAGGAGCUUGCUCCUCUGACGUUAGCGGCGGACGGGUGAGUAACACGUGGAUAACCUACCUAUAAGACUGGGAUAACUUCGGGAAACCGGAGCUAAUACCGGAUAAUAUAUUGAACCGCAUGGUUCAAUAGUGAAAGACGGUUUUGCUGUCACUUAUAGAUGGAUCCGCGCCGCAUUAGCUAGUUGGUAAGGUAACGGCUUACCAAGGCAACGAUGCGUAGCCGACCUGAGAGGGUGAUCGGCCACACUGGAACUGAGACACGGUCCAGACUCCUACGGGAGGCAGCAGUAGGGAAUCUUCCGCAAUGGGCGAAAGCCUGACGGAGCAACGCCGCGUGAGUGAUGAAGGUCUUCGGAUCGUAAAACUCUGUUAUUAGGGAAGAACAAAUGUGUAAGUAACUAUGCACGUCUUGACGGUACCAAAUCAGAAAGCCACGGCUAACUACGUG